RNAcentral lists this unclassified non-coding RNA (580 nucleotides) under Bartonella henselae. RNAcentral describes it as "partial 16S-23S ribosomal RNA intergenic spacer". The stretch from base 117 to 190 matches the Rfam family "tRNA". Lineage: Bacteria; Pseudomonadati; Pseudomonadota; Alphaproteobacteria; Hyphomicrobiales; Bartonellaceae. The record is from RNAcentral.
CCUUCUGGCGAUCUAGACAAAACAAGUCCACCGUGGGCUUUGAAAAACGCUUUCCUUGAUAAAAUUUAAGCGUUUUAUAAGAGGAUGCCGGGGAAGGUUUUCCGGUUUAUCCCGGAGGGCUUGUAGCUCAGUUGGUUAGAGCGCGCGCUUGAUAAGCGUGAGGUCGGAGGUUCAAGUCCUCCCAGGCCCACCAGUUUAUCCAUUACUUUCAUAAGUGCUUUUAAAAAAUAAGUACUUCUAAAAAGAUUGCUUCUAAAAAGCUUAUCAAAAUUGGCAGGCUUAUUGCUUUUGUGUGAGUAAUCCAAAGUUAAAGCAAAUUAAUGGCAAAAAAACAGUUCAAAUGCUAAAUACUAAGGAGUCAAAAUUCCUUGCAAAGUGAUUUUUACAGCGUCCAUUUGGUUGAUAUAAAUUCCAAAUGCUCAUAGACGUCAAUGCCUAUAUGAAACUAUCGGUUCAAUCAUAUCGCUUUGAGUUAUAUAGAUUUUGUAAUCCCUCUUUUGAUCGUUUUAAACGCUUUAUUCUGAUUUAGGGGCCGUAGCUCAGCUGGGAGAGCACCUGCUUUGCAAGCAGGGGGUCGUCG